RNAcentral lists this ribosomal RNA (539 nucleotides) under uncultured bacterium. RNAcentral's name for it is "bacterial SSU rRNA". It matches the Rfam family "Bacterial small subunit ribosomal RNA", at positions 777 to 1319 of the family's 1533-position model. The record is from RNAcentral.
AAUAGAUACCCGGGUAGUCCACGCCGUAAACGAUGAAUACUAGGUGUAGGAGGUAUCGACCCCUUCUGUGCCGCAGUUAACACAAUAAGUAUUCCGCCUGGGGAGUACGAUCGCAAGAUUAAAACUCAAAGGAAUUGACGGGGGCCCGCACAAGCAGCGGAGCAUGUGGUUUAAUUCGAAGCAACGCGAAGAACCUUACCUAGACUUGACAUCUCCUGAAUUACCCUUAAUCGGGGAAGCCCUUCGGGGCAGGAAGACAGGUGGUGCAUGGUUGUCGUCAGCUCGUGUCGUGAGAUGUUGGGUUAAGUCCCGCAACGAGCGCAACCCUUAUCAUUAGUUGCUACCAUUAAGUUGAGCACUCUAGUGAGACUGCCACGGUUAACGUGGAGGAAGGUGGGGAUGACGUCAAAUCAUCAUGCCCCUUAUGUCUAGGGCUACACACGUGCUACAAUGGUGAGUACAAAGAGAUGCAAUACCGCGAGGUGGAGCCAAACUCAAAAACUCAUCCCAGUUCGGAUUGUAGGCUGAAACUCGCCUAC